Molecule: ribosomal RNA, 340 nt
Filed under: uncultured Dialister sp.
Lineage: Bacteria; Bacillati; Bacillota; Negativicutes; Veillonellales; Veillonellaceae
Description: bacterial SSU rRNA
Rfam family: Bacterial small subunit ribosomal RNA
Source: RNAcentral
UGGGGAAUCUUCCGCAAUGGGCGAAAGCCUGACGGAGCAACGCCGCGUGAGUGAUGACGGCCUUCGGUUGUAAAGCUCUGUGAUCGGGGACGAACGGUCGGCAGACGAAUACUCUGCUGAAGCGACGGUACCCGAAUAGCAAGCCACGGCUAACUACGUGCCAGCAGCCGCGGUAAUACGUGGGUGGCAAGCGUUGUCCGGAAUUAUUGGGCGUAAAGCGCGCGCAGGCGGCUUCUUAAGUCCAUCUUAAAAGUGCGGGGCUUAACCCCGUGAUGGGAUGGAAACUGAGAGGCUGGAGUAUCGGAGAGGAAAGUGGAAUUCCUAGUGUAGCGGUGAAAUG